UUCGGAUUGGAGUCUGCAACCCGACUCCAUGAAGCUGGAUUCGCUAGUAAUCGCGCAUCAGCCACGGCGCGGUGAAUACGUUCCCGGGCCUUGUACACACCGCCCGUCAAGCCAUGGGAGCCGGGGGUACCUGAAGUGCGUGACCGCAAGGAGCGCCCUAAGGUAAAACCGGUGACUGGGGCUAAGUCGUAACAAGGUACC
This 201-nucleotide ribosomal RNA is filed under the name uncultured bacterium. Its description in RNAcentral is "partial 16S ribosomal RNA". It matches the Rfam family "Bacterial small subunit ribosomal RNA", at positions 1292 to 1500 of the family's 1533-position model. The record is from RNAcentral.